This 742-nucleotide ribosomal RNA is filed under the name uncultured bacterium. RNAcentral's name for it is "bacterial SSU rRNA". It matches the Rfam family "Bacterial small subunit ribosomal RNA", at positions 94 to 823 of the family's 1533-position model. The record is from RNAcentral.
AGCGGCGGACGGGUGAGUAACACGUGGGUAACCUGCCCAAGAGACUGGGAUAACACCUGGAAACAGACGCUAAUACCGGAUAACAACACUAGACGCAUGUCUAGAGUUUGAAAGAUGGUUCUGCUAUCACUCUUGGAUGGACCUGCGGUGCAUUAGCUAGUUGGUAAGGUAACGGCUUACCAAGGCAAUGAUGCAUAGCCGAGUUGAGAGACUGAUCGGCCACAUUGGGACUGAGACACGGCCCAAACUCCUACGGGAGGCAGCAGUAGGGAAUCUUCCACAAUGGACGAAAGUCUGAUGGAGCAACGCCGCGUGAGUGAAGAAGGGUUUUGGCUCGUAAAGCUCUGUUGGUAGUGAAGAAAGAUAGAGGUAGUAACUGGCCUUUAUUUGACGGUAAUUACUUAGAAAGUCACGGCUAACUACGUGCCAGCAGCCGCGGUAAUACGUAGGUGGCAAGCGUUGUCCGGAUUUAUUGGGCGUAAGGCGAGUGCAGGCGGUUCAAUAAGUCUGAUGUGAAAGCCUUCGGCUCAACCGGAGAAUUGCAUCAGAAACUGUUGAACUUGAGUGCAGAAGAGGAGAGUGGAACUCCAUGUGUAGCGGUGGAAUGCGUAGAUAUAUGGAAGAACACCAGUGGCGAAGGCGGCUCUCCGGUCUGCAACUGACGCUGAGGCUCGAAAGCAUAGGUAGCGAACAGGAUUAGAUACCCUGGUAGUCCAUGCCGUAAACGAUGAGUGCUAGGUGU